Molecule: long non-coding RNA, 516 nt
Organism: Marmota monax (woodchuck)
Lineage: Eukaryota; Metazoa; Chordata; Mammalia; Rodentia; Sciuridae
Exons: 3
Source: RefSeq, a predicted model, not a curated record
UUGGCAAGGCUUUUCUAACAAUGGCUCAUUAAUAUUCGGUGGCGCAGGCUUGCCAGGAGAGCGCAAGAGUUCUCAGCUCCCUGCCCUGGGCACCGAAGACCCCCUCGGGCUACUUAGCAAUCCCUGGCCCCGGAGGCAGCCCUCCGCCAGCGCGGCGCUGUGGGGCGCUGCUCCAAGAUCUAAGACCGAUAAAAACAGACCUAGUCUGGGGUAGCUCCUCCUGGGCCUGAGUCAUCUAUGCAAAAACAAAUUUGUUCCUUUUUGCAGUGUUUGUUGUCUUUGUCUUGAAACGUAGUCUUUACGCUUCCCAAGCAGCAUGCCGGUCCUAAGACUGCGAAGACUUCUUUGACUCUUGCAGACACGCAUUUUUGAGAAUGCCCCUGGUUUUCUGGAAGGCCUGAGGAGAGGUGCUGAGCCCAGCAGGUUUCCGCCCCAGGAUGUGGAAUAAGUUUUUGCCGGGCACAACAUCUUUGUAUGUGGUGCUGAGGAUCGAACUCGGGCUGCACGCAUGCCAGG